RNAcentral lists this ribosomal RNA (499 nucleotides) under uncultured Clostridia bacterium. RNAcentral's name for it is "partial 16S ribosomal RNA". It matches the Rfam family "Bacterial small subunit ribosomal RNA", at positions 1034 to 1531 of the family's 1533-position model. The record is from RNAcentral. Lineage: Bacteria; Bacillati; Bacillota; Clostridia.
ACAGGUGGUGACAUNGUUGGUCGUCAGCUCGUGUCGUGAGAUGUUGGGUUAAGUCNNGACAACGAGCACAACCCUUGGCAUUAGUUGCUACGCAAGAGCACUCUAANGAGACCNCUACNGACAAGNUGGAGGAAGGUGGGGAUGACNGUCNAAUCNUCAUGCCCCUUAUGACCUGGGCUACACANGUAAUACAAUGNCCGUCAACAGGAGGGAAGCGAAACCGCGAGGCGGAGCANAACCCUAAAAACGGUCUCAGUUCANANAGCAGGCUGCAACCCGCCUGCAUGAAGGUGGAAUUGCUAGUAAUCGCGGAUCAGCAUGCCGNCGGUGAAUACGUUCCCGGGCCUUGUUCACACCGCCCGUCACACCAUGGGAGUUUGUAACACCCGAAGUCCAUAGCCUAACCGCAAGGAGGACAGUGGCCGAAGGUGGGAUAUAGCGACUGGGGUGAAGUCGUAACAAGGUANCCGUAUNGGAAGGUGCGGCUGGAUCACCUCCU